GGACCUUGGUCUACAAAUGGCAAGAUUAAGUUGAGGGGCUGCUCUUUCUUAUGGAGGGAGGUGUGUGCUCAUGCCCCUAAUGUGAUUCCUCAGAUGAGGUGGCUUGUGGAGGACGGUCGAUCAAUGAACCUCUUAGGCGACCUAUGGAUUGCCGACUUGCCAUUGUGUCAAUGGCCAACAUUCAUUAGCACUGACGUGGAUGAGUCAAGGGGG
Molecule: long non-coding RNA, 213 nt
Filed under: Elaeis guineensis (African oil palm)
Lineage: Eukaryota; Viridiplantae; Streptophyta; Magnoliopsida; Arecales; Arecaceae
Description: long non-coding RNA (EGUI_LNC032013)
Source: RNAcentral